GCUGGUGUGGUAUAGUGGCUAGAACAUUGGAUUAUGACUCUGGAGAUUAGGGUUCAAUUUCCCCUUGAGCA
This is a non-coding RNA of Phrynosoma platyrhinos (Desert horned lizard), 71 nucleotides long. The record is from the annotation of a GenBank genome assembly. Lineage: Eukaryota; Metazoa; Chordata; Lepidosauria; Squamata; Phrynosomatidae.